UUUAACGAGAGUUUGAUCCUGGCUCAGGAUGAACGCUGGCGGCGUGCUUAACACAUGCAAGUCGAACGAAGCAUGCAGGACGGAGUUUUUCGGAACGAAGGAAUGCAUGACUUAGUGGCGGACGGGUGAGUAACGCGUGGGUAACCUGCCUUAUACAGGGGGAUAACAGUUAGAAAUGGCUGCU
Molecule: ribosomal RNA, 184 nt
Organism: Parasporobacterium paucivorans DSM 15970
Lineage: Bacteria; Bacillati; Bacillota; Clostridia; Lachnospirales; Lachnospiraceae
Rfam family: Bacterial small subunit ribosomal RNA
Source: Rfam